Molecule: ribosomal RNA, 1493 nt
Filed under: Lactiplantibacillus plantarum
Lineage: Bacteria; Bacillati; Bacillota; Bacilli; Lactobacillales; Lactobacillaceae
Description: bacterial SSU rRNA
Rfam family: Bacterial small subunit ribosomal RNA
Source: RNAcentral
CUAGAGACGCUGGCGGCGUGCCUAAUACAUGCAAGUCGAACGAACUCUGGUAUUGAUUGGUGCUUGCAUCAUGAUUUACAUUUGAGUGAGUGGCGAACUGGUGAGUAACACGUGGGAAACCUGCCCAGAAGCGGGGGAUAACACCUGGAAACAGAUGCUAAUACCGCAUAACAACUUGGACCGCAUGGUCCGAGCUUGAAAGAUGGCUUCGGCUAUCACUUUUGGAUGGUCCCGCGGCGUAUUAGCUAGAUGGUGGGGUAACGGCUCACCAUGGCAAUGAUACGUAGCCGACCUGAGAGGGUAAUCGGCCACAUUGGGACUGAGACACGGCCCAAACUCCUACGGGAGGCAGCAGUAGGGAAUCUUCCACAAUGGACGAAAGUCUGAUGGAGCAACGCCGCGUGAGUGAAGAAGGGUUUCGGCUCGUAAAACUCUGUUGUUAAAGAAGAACAUAUCUGAGAGUAACUGUUCAGGUAUUGACGGUAUUUUACCAGAAAGCCACGGCUAACUACGUGCCAGCAGCCGCGGUAAUACGUAGGUGGCAAGCGUUGUCCGGAUUUAUUGGGCGUAAAGCGAGCGCAGGCGGUUUUUUAAGUCUGAUGUGAAAGCCUUCGGCUCAACCGAAGAAGUGCAUCGGAAACUGGGAAACUUGAGUGCAGAAGAGGACAGUGGAACUCCAUGUGUAGCGGUGAAAUGCGUAGAUAUAUGGAAGAACACCAGUGGCGAAGGCGGCUGUCUGGUCUGUAACUGACGCUGAGGCUCGAAAGUAUGGGUAGCAAACAGGAUUAGAUACCCUGGUAGUCCAUACCGUAAACGAUGAAUGCUAAGUGUUGGAGGGUUUCCGCCCUUCAGUGCUGCAGCUAACGCAUUAAGCAUUCCGCCUGGGGGAGUACGGCCGCAAGGCUGAAACUCAAAGGAAUUGACGGGGGCCCGCACAAGCGGUGGAGCAUGGUGGUUUAAUUCGAAGCUACGCGAAGAACCUUACCAGGUCUUGACAUACUAUGCAAAUCUAAGAGAUUAGACGUUCCCUUCGGGGACAUGGAUACAGGUGGUGCAUGGUUGUCGUCAGCUCGUGUCGUGAGAUGUUGGGUUAAGUCCCGCAACGAGCGCAACCCUUAUUAUCAGUUGCCAGCAUUAAGUUGGGCACUCUGGUGAGACUGCCGGUGACAAACCGGAGGAAGGUGGGGAUGACGUCAAAUCAUCAUGCCCCUUAUGACCUGGGCUACACACGUGCUACAAUGGAUGGUACAACGAGUUGCGAACUCGCGAGAGUAAGCUAAUCUCUUAAAGCCAUUCUCAGUUCGGAUUGUAGGCUGCAACUCGCCUACAUGAAGUCGGAAUCGCUAGUAAUCGCGGAUCAGCAUGCCGCGGUGAAUACGUUCCCGGGCCUUGUACACACCGCCCGUCACACCAUGAGAGUUUGUAACACCCAAAGUCGGUGGGGUAACCUUUUAGGAACCAGCCGCCUAAGGUGGACAGAUGAUUAGGGAAGU